RNAcentral lists this ribosomal RNA (263 nucleotides) under uncultured bacterium. RNAcentral's name for it is "partial 16S ribosomal RNA". It matches the Rfam family "Bacterial small subunit ribosomal RNA", at positions 57 to 305 of the family's 1533-position model. The record is from RNAcentral.
GCAAGUCGAGCGGACGUUUUUGACGCUUGCUUCAAAAACGUUAGCGGCGGACGGGUGAUUAACACGUGGGCAACCUCCCUUAUCGACUGGGAUAACUCCGGGAAACCGGGGCUAAUACCGGAUAACAUCUAGCAUCUCCUGGCGCAAGAUUAAAAAGAGGGCCUUUUGGCUCUCACGAUGAGAUGGGCCCGCGGCGCAUUAGCUAGUUGGAGAGGUAAUGGCUCCCCAAGGCGACGAUGCGUAGCCGACCUGAGAGGGUGAUC